RNAcentral lists this non-coding RNA (28 nucleotides) under Mus musculus (house mouse). The record is from RNAcentral. Lineage: Eukaryota; Metazoa; Chordata; Mammalia; Rodentia; Muridae.
UUCCUUUAUCUCUCAUUGCUUAUAUACC